GAUGAACGCUAGCUACAGGCUUAACACAUGCAAGUCGAGGGCAGCAGGGAUUUAGCUUGCUAAAUCCGCUGGCGACCGGCGCACGGGUGCGUAACGCGUAUCCAACUUUCCCGUUACUCAGGGAUAGCCUUCCGAAAGGGAGAUUAAUACCUGAUGGUGUUUGAAGUUCGCAUGUUCUUCAAACUAAAGAUUUAUCGGUAACGGAUAGGGAUGCGUGACAUUAGAUAGUAGGCGGGGUAACGGCCCACCUAGUCUACGAUGUCUAGGGGUUCUGAGAGGAAGGUCCCCCACACUGGAACUGAGACACGGUCCAGACUCCUACGGGAGGCAGCAGUGGGGAAUAUUGCACAAUGGGGGAAACCCUGAUGCAGCGACGCCGCGUGAGUGAAGAAGUAUUUCGGUACGUAAAGCUCUAUCAGCAGGGAAGAAAUACCGACCUUUGGUCGCUAGACGGUACUUGACUAAGAAGCCCCGGCUAACUACGUG
RNAcentral lists this ribosomal RNA (486 nucleotides) under uncultured bacterium. RNAcentral describes it as "bacterial SSU rRNA". It matches the Rfam family "Bacterial small subunit ribosomal RNA", at positions 28 to 507 of the family's 1533-position model. The record is from RNAcentral.